RNAcentral lists this ribosomal RNA (1245 nucleotides) under metagenome. Its description in RNAcentral is "SSU rRNA". It matches the Rfam family "Eukaryotic small subunit ribosomal RNA", at positions 488 to 1758 of the family's 1831-position model. The record is from RNAcentral.
GAUCUCUUUGAGGCCCGUUAUCGGAAUGAGAGCAAUUCAAAUCCUUUAACGAGGAUCUAGCGGAGGGCAAGUCUGGUGCCAGCAGCCGCGGUAAUUCCAGCUCCGCAGGUGUAUAUCUAUGCUGCUGCGGUUAAAAAGCUCGUAGUUGGAUCUGCGUGCUCGGAACUGGUUGGCUCACUGAGUUCAAACUGGUCUCCGGCGCUUUAUUGGCUGGUUUUCCCUUGAUGCUCUUAACCGGGUGUCUUGGGUGGCUAGCACGUUUACUUUGAAAAAAUUAGAGUGCUCAAUACAGGCGUAAAGCCUUGAAUAUUUGUGCAUGGAAUAAUAGAAUAGGACCUCGGCUCUAUUUUGUUGGUUUUCGGAACGCGAGGUAAUGAUUAAGAGGGACAGACGGGGGCAUUCGUAUUGCGACGUUAGAGGUGAAAUUCUUGGAUCGUCGCAAGACGGACGACUGCGAAAGCAUUUGCCAAGAAUGUUUUCAUUAAUCAAGAACGAAAGUUAGAGGUUCGAAGGCGAUCAGAUACCGCCCUAGUUCUAACCGUAAACGAUGCCAACUAGCGAUUCGCAGGCGUUAAACAACGACCUUGCGGGCAGCUUCCCGGAAACGAAAGUGUUCGGGUUCCGGGGGAAGUAUGGUUGCAAAGCUGAAACUUAAAGGAAUUGACGGAAGGGCACCACCAGGAGUGGAGUCUGCGGCUUAAUUUGACCCAACACGGGAAAACUCACCCGGCCCGGACACCGUAAGGAUUGACAGAUUGAGAGCUCUUUCUUGAUUCGGUGGGUGGUGGUGCAUGGCCGUUCUUAGUUGGUGGAGCGAUUUGUCUGGUUUAUUCCGAUAACGAACGAGACACUGGCCUACUAAAUAGUGGGCGGAUUCUUUCUGUCCGCAACACUUCUUAGAGGGACAAGCGGUGUUCAGCCGCACGAGAUUGAGCAAUAACAGGUCUGUGAUGCCCUUAGAUGUCCGGGGCUGCACGCGCGCUACACUGAAGGAAUCAGCGUGCUUUCUGACCUUGCCCGAAAGGGCUGGGUAACCCGAUGAAAAUCCUUCGUGAUUGGGAUAGGGACUCGCAAUUAUUUCCCUUGAACGAGGAAUUCCCAGUAAGUGUGGGUCAUAAGCUCGCGUUGAUUACGUCCCUGCCCUUUGUACACACCGCCCGUCGCUGCCCGGAACUGAGCCGUUUCGAGAAGAACAGGGAUCGUCGUUGAAGGGCCUUAACGGGCUUUUCUCUGAUAGAAACUGUU